This 466-nucleotide ribosomal RNA is filed under the name uncultured bacterium. RNAcentral describes it as "partial 16S ribosomal RNA". It matches the Rfam family "Bacterial small subunit ribosomal RNA", at positions 28 to 507 of the family's 1533-position model. The record is from RNAcentral.
GACGAACGCUGGCGGCGUGCUUAACACAUGCAAGUCGAGCGGAAAGGCCCUGCUUGCAGGGUACUCGAGUGGCGAACGGGUGAGUAACACGUGGGUGAUCUGCCCUGCACUUCGGGAUAAGCCUGGGAAACUGGGUCUAAUACCGGAUAGGAGCCAUUUUUAGUGUGAUGGUUGGAAAGUUUUUUUCGGUGUAGGAUGAGCUCGCGGCCUAUCAGCUUGUUGGUGGGGUAAUGGCCUACCAAGGCGGCGACGGGUGGCCGGCCUGAGAGGGUGGACGGCCACAUUGGGACUGAGAUACGGCCCAGACUCCUACGGGAGGCAGCAGUGGGGAAUAUUGCACAAUGGGCGCAAGCCUGAUGCAGCGACGCCGCGUGGGGGAUGACGGCCUUCGGGUUGUAAACUCCUUUCGCUAGGGACGAAGCUUUUUGUGACGGUACCUAGAUAAGAAGCACCGGCUAACUACGUG